GCGAAGACGUGGUGCGUGGCCAAGCCAUCGACGGGCGAGGCGGCGCUGAGGGCCAACCUGGAGUUCGCCUGCUCCCAGAGCGACUGCAGCGCGAUCCAGGGCACGGGGGGCUGCUCCGCGCUGAACGGCGGCGUGCUGCUGUCGCGGGCGUCCGUGGCCAUGAACGCCUACUACCAGGCCAGGGGGAGGAACUCGUGGAACUGCUUCUUCAACGCCACCGGCAUCAUCAGCAUCACCGACCCCAGUCUAGGCACUUGCAAGUAUGCAUGA
This 270-nucleotide ribosomal RNA is filed under the name Triticum aestivum (bread wheat). RNAcentral's name for it is "partial small subunit ribosomal RNA". Lineage: Eukaryota; Viridiplantae; Streptophyta; Magnoliopsida; Poales; Poaceae. The record is from RNAcentral.